AGACCCGAAACCCGGUGAUCUAGCCAUGGGCAGGUUGAAGGUUGGGUAACACUAACUGGAGGACCGAACCGACUAAUGUUGAAAAAUUAGCGGAUGACCUGUGGCUGGGGGUGAAAGGCCAAUCAAACCGGGAGAUAGCUGGUUCUCCCCGAAAGCUAUUUAGGUAGCGCCUCGUGAAUUCAUCUCCGGGGGUAGAGCACUGUUUCGGCUAGGGGGCCAUCCCGGCUUACCAACCCGAUGCAAACUGCGAAUACCGGAGAAUGUUAUCACGGGAGACACACGGCGGGUGCUAACGUCCGUCGUGAAGAGGGAAACAACCCAGACCGCCAGCUAAGGUCCCAAAGUCAUGGUUAAGUGGGAAACGAUGUGGGAAGGCCCAGACAGCCAGGAUGUUGGCUUAGAAGCAGCCAUCAUUUAAAGAAAGCGUAAUAGCUCACUGGUCGAGUCGGCCUGCGCGGAAGAUGUAACGGGGCUAAACCAUGCACCGAAGCUGCGGCAGCGAACGUAUCACUUAAAGC
RNAcentral lists this ribosomal RNA (518 nucleotides) under Salmonella enterica subsp. enterica serovar Infantis. RNAcentral describes it as "partial 23S ribosomal RNA". It matches the Rfam family "Bacterial large subunit ribosomal RNA", at positions 711 to 1220 of the family's 2925-position model. Lineage: Bacteria; Pseudomonadati; Pseudomonadota; Gammaproteobacteria; Enterobacterales; Enterobacteriaceae. The record is from RNAcentral. RNAcentral also lists the same sequence under 2 other names.